CAACAAACAGAGCAGGGAAAAACAGCACCCCGAAGACAGCAUUCAGGACCCAGCCCUUUAGACAAAAGGGAUCAGAUCAGGUCUACUAGAUGGCCUCAUUCAGUCAGACACACCCAGUUAAGCAGCCCUGGAAAGGGACUCUAGAGAAUGCUAGAAGUACUGUGAAGCUCGCAGAUGGCCUUGUGGACUUUAGCACUUCAGGUGAGAUGAGAACACUGAGGCACAGAGAUUAUACCAGCUGGGCUAGCGAGUGACCGGGGGAAGCCUCCAGAUCCAUGCACACAACCGCCAGGUUUAUGACACCUCUAGAAAUGUGGCCAGUGCCCCUGGGGUCUAUCAGCAUCUCUUGCUAGACCAGCAGAGCCCUAAAAAAGAAGACAACAGUCUCCCAGCAAAAUGUUGCAAGCAGCACAGGCUCAGGAAUGGACAGACUGGCAGGCAAGACACAGCAAGAAGGCAGCAGUCUGCACACCAGGAGGAGAGUCCUCACCACAACUCAGCCCUGCCACACCCUGAUCCUGGACUUUCAGCCUCCAGAGCUGUGAGAAAUAAAUGCCUGCUGUU
Molecule: long non-coding RNA, 564 nt
Filed under: Homo sapiens (human)
Lineage: Eukaryota; Metazoa; Chordata; Mammalia; Primates; Hominidae
Description: PREDICTED lncRNA (TCONS_00249757)
Source: RNAcentral